Molecule: ribosomal RNA, 497 nt
Filed under: uncultured bacterium
Lineage: Bacteria
Description: partial 16S ribosomal RNA
Rfam family: Bacterial small subunit ribosomal RNA
Source: RNAcentral
GACGAACGCUGGCGGCGUGCCUAAUACAUGCAAGUAGAACGCUGAAGAGAGGAGCUUGCUCUUCUUGGAUGAGUUGCGAACGGGUGAGUAACGCGUAGGUAACCUGCCUUGUAGCGGGGGAUAACUAUUGGAAACGAUAGCUAAUACCGCAUAACAAUGGAUGACACAUGUCAUUUAUUUGAAAGGGGCAAUUGUUCCACUACAUGAUGGACCUGCGUUGUAUUAGCUAGUAGGUGAGGUAAUGGCUCACCUAGGCGACGAUACAUAGCCGACCUGAGAGGGUGAUCGGCCACACUGGGACUGAGACACGGCCCAGACUCCUACGGGAGGCAGCAGUAGGGAAUCUUCGGCAAUGGGGGCAACCCUGACCGAGCAACGCCGCGUGAGUGAAGAAGGUUUUCGGAUCGUAAAGCUCUGUUGUAAGUCAAGAACGGGUGUGAGAGUGGAAAGUUCACACUGUGACGGUAGCUUACCAGAAAGGGACGGCUAACUACGUG